GACGAACGCUGGCGGCGUGCUUAACACAUGCAAGUCGAACGGAAAGGCCCUGCUUUUGUGGGGUGCUCGAGUGGCGAACGGGUGAGUAACACGUGAGUAACCUGCCCUUGACUUUGGGAUAACUUCAGGAAACUGGGGCUAAUACCGGAUAGGAGCUCCUGCUGCAUGGUGGGGGUUGGAAAGUUUCGGUGGUUGGGGAUGGACUCGCGGCUUAUCAGCUUGUUGGUGGGGUAGUGGCUUACCAAGGCUUUGACGGGUAGCCGGCCUGAGAGGGUGACCGGCCACAUUGGGACUGAGAUACGGCCCAGACUCCUACGGGAGGCAGCAGUGGGGAAUAUUGCACAAUGGGCGGAAGCCUGAUGCAGCAACGCCGCGUGCGGGAUGACGGCCUUCGGGUUGUAAACCGCUUUCGCCUGUGACGAAGAGUGAGUGACGGUAAUGGGUAAAGAAGCACCGGCUAACUACGUG
Molecule: ribosomal RNA, 468 nt
Filed under: uncultured bacterium
Lineage: Bacteria
Description: partial 16S ribosomal RNA
Rfam family: Bacterial small subunit ribosomal RNA
Source: RNAcentral